UCUAUAUAAAUGUUUCUAACAUGCAGGUAACAUUUAUAUAUGUAUUAGUUUGAAUAAAUCUUUUUAAUAAAGUUACAUUAUAGGCAGGAAUGUUUGACUGGAAAUAUAAACGAUGUUGUACAUAAUGCAGAUAGCUUAGGCAAAAAAGAGAUUGGUGAAAUGGAGAAUGAGACUAACUAGGGUGAAAAAAAGUGAAUAUUAAUAUGUGAAUGGUACUUUGUUUAACAUCUACCUGUUUCUACAGAUACAGUACAGACGCAUUUAUAAAUGGGCUUGAUGUUUUUUUGAAUUAAAUAUGUUGUAUUGA
Hydra vulgaris (swiftwater hydra) is the source of this 307-nucleotide long non-coding RNA. RefSeq lists it as uncharacterized. Lineage: Eukaryota; Metazoa; Cnidaria; Hydrozoa; Anthoathecata; Hydridae. The record is from RefSeq and is a predicted model, not a curated record.